This 492-nucleotide ribosomal RNA is filed under the name uncultured Desulfobulbus sp. RNAcentral's name for it is "bacterial SSU rRNA". It matches the Rfam family "Bacterial small subunit ribosomal RNA", at positions 895 to 1382 of the family's 1533-position model. Lineage: Bacteria; Pseudomonadati; Thermodesulfobacteriota; Desulfobulbia; Desulfobulbales; Desulfobulbaceae. The record is from RNAcentral.
CAGAACUUAAAGGAAGUUGACGGGGCCCGCACAAGCGGUGGAGUAUGUGGUUUAAUUCGAUGCAACGCGAAGAACCUUACCUGGUCUUGACAUCCCGGAGACCCUUAGGAAACUAGGGGUGCUUCCAUCUGGAAGAAUCUGGAGACAGGUGCUGCAUGGCUGUCGUCAGCUCGUGUCGUGAGAUGUUGGGUUAAGUCCCGCAACGAGCGCAACCCUUGCCUUUAGUUGCCAGCAGUUCGGCUGGGCACUCUAAAGGGACUGCCGGUGUUAAACCGGAGGAAGGUGGGGAUGACGUCAAGUCCUCAUGGCCUUUAUGACCAGGGCUACACACGUACUACAAUGGCCGAUACAAAGGGCAGCGACACUGCGAGGUGAAGCCAAUCCCGUAAAAUCGGUCUCAGUCCGGAUUGGAGUCUGCAACUCGACUCCAUGAAGUUGGAAUCGCUAGUAAUCGUGGAUCAGCAUGCCACGGUGAAUAUGUUCCCGGGCCUU